GGUAUGGGCCAUUUGGUUUCACAUUUGUUUUGAAGGAACUUGGCAUUGGUACUGAUGAGGUUGGCAAAUUAAUUGCAUGCGUUUAAGCCAUAACUGACGGGCUGUAGCAUUGAGGAAAAAUUGAAGCCUCUUGUUGAGUAUCUGUACUUAUCAUGGGAUUUCCCAAGAUGGUAUGAAGAGAAUACUUAUGAGUAAACCAAUAGUUUUCUGUAUAGAUUUGGAGACGACCAUUGUGUGAAAGGUACGGUUUUUUCAGGACAUUGACAUUCAAGAUGAUGCCAUUGGUAACAUGCUUGUAAGGUUUCCUUCAUUACUAACAUGCAGCCUCUACAAGAAGAUCUGGCCAGUGCCAUACAGGUCAUAUUCUUGAUGACCAGAGCUGGAGUGAGUGAUAAAGAUAUUUCAUAUUUGGGAAGGCUAUAGCGUUGGGACCAGAGCUCUUAGGAUGCAGUUAAAAAGCUUGAGGUUAGUGUGAAAUAUUCUGUUACCUGGCAUACAUCCUCGACAAUUGGGUGAGAUGGUUGCCAAUUUUCCCAUGCUAUGCUCUUGAUGACCAAAUAAUUACCAAGGCAUAAGGUUUUGGUUGGGAAGCAGAUCCAAUUUAAAGCUGCGCUACAUGUUGGCUUGCACCGAUGAAGAGUUCAACAAAAAGGUUGAGGCUAUAGUGAAAAGGUGUCAAAGAUUUGAAGCUGGUCUUUUGGAAGGGGAUCUCUCUGAUUCACAGGCAACUGAUGACCCUGUGGAGACUACGAAGCUUUCUGAAAGUGAGUCAACAUAGUAAUUCAAUUCGUCUUAAGAGCAUUCUGCUAGCACUCUAUGACUGAGUUUCGAGACCACUUUUUGGAGCUCUGGUGGUCUUUGCUCUUUUUUCUUCUAUUGUUUCUCUGGCUAUCAUUGAGGUCGAGUCUCGUCACUGUCCGAUCCCUGAUCCUGGAAAAGAAUGUGGGAGUGCAAGCAAAAUCUGGCAUGGGAGAUGCGCAUCCGGAAACAAUUGUUAUAGAAAGUGCAGAAAUCUGGAGGCGGCAGAAUAUGGAAGAUGCGUUGGAUAUAUACAUUCAAAGUGCUUCUGCUAUAGAAGAUGCAAAUUGUGAUAGGAAAAGUAUGGAGCGUGUAUGUGGGUUUAAGAAUUCAAAUUUCAAAGGGCCAUAGGGAAUGUAAAAA
Long non-coding RNA from Quercus lobata, 1161 nucleotides. RefSeq lists it as uncharacterized. The record is from RefSeq and is a predicted model, not a curated record. The transcript has 5 exons. Lineage: Eukaryota; Viridiplantae; Streptophyta; Magnoliopsida; Fagales; Fagaceae.